Molecule: long non-coding RNA, 409 nt
Filed under: Ictidomys tridecemlineatus (thirteen-lined ground squirrel)
Lineage: Eukaryota; Metazoa; Chordata; Mammalia; Rodentia; Sciuridae
Description: lncRNA (ENSSTOG00000029816.1)
Source: RNAcentral
AAACAAGAGAAAUAAAAGAAACAGAAAGAGCACCUGGCCCUGAUGGGAAGGUCUGUGAUUUGAUAUCUAAUUGCCAAUUCUUGACAGGAUCUUCCUACUUCUCCAAGGUGAUGUGGCCUUUCAGCUACAAUUUAGUUACCGUGGCAACCUUAUUCCAGGUUUCAUCUCCAUGGCAAUUCAUUAGAGUUUUUCACCCUCUGAGCACAUCUUGCUGGCGGGGUACAUCAGACCCUAGAAGUAUACCCCUGACUCAGACGACGUGACAUGGAAAACUUAAACUGGUCUCUGAGGGGCUGGGGAUGUGGCUCAAGCGGUAUCGCGCUCGCCUGGCAUGCGUGCGGCCUGGGUUCGAUCCUCAGCCCCACAUACAAACAAAGAUGUUGUGUCCGCUGAAAACUAAAAAAUUAAA